Molecule: microRNA precursor, 94 nt
Filed under: Erinaceus europaeus (western European hedgehog)
Lineage: Eukaryota; Metazoa; Chordata; Mammalia; Eulipotyphla; Erinaceidae
Description: miRNA (ENSEEUG00000016092.1)
Source: RNAcentral
CUGUGGACAUCUGACACUGUGGUUCCUGCGUGAAAACGUAGCUGGUGGUACUGGGACCUACAGCACCACUUCUGCUGUCACAGUCAAGUCUGCC